CAGCCGCCACGGGAAUACGAAGGGGGCUAGCGUUGCUCGGAAUCACUGGGCGUAAAGGGUGCGUAGGCGGGUCUUUAAGUCAGGGGUGAAAUCCUGGAGCUCAACUCCAGAACUGCCUUUGAUACUGAAGAUCUUGAGUUCGGGAGAGGUGAGUGGAACUGCGAGUGUAGAGGUGAAAUUCGUAGAUAUUCGCAAGAACACCAGUGGCGAAGGCGGCUCACUGGCCCGAUACUGACACUGAGAGACGAAAGCUAGGGGAGCAAAUGGGAUUAGAUACCCCCGUAGUCCCUGUCUCUUAUAC
RNAcentral lists this ribosomal RNA (301 nucleotides) under uncultured bacterium. RNAcentral describes it as "partial 16S ribosomal RNA". It matches the Rfam family "Bacterial small subunit ribosomal RNA", at positions 509 to 807 of the family's 1533-position model. The record is from RNAcentral.